Molecule: unclassified non-coding RNA, 298 nt
Filed under: Hevea brasiliensis (rubber tree)
Lineage: Eukaryota; Viridiplantae; Streptophyta; Magnoliopsida; Malpighiales; Euphorbiaceae
Source: RNAcentral
AUAACGUAAGUCCCGUCAUCCUCCCUUCUCCAAUAACGCUGCAAAAGAAGAUCUCUUCUUGUCAUACCCCAAGGUAGCCAGUCCUGAUUUAGAAGCUUAUGAACUAUAUCAGUGUGACCAUCAAGAUGUUCAAUCACACUGCCCUUGUAGAAACAGAAAUCCCAUUCUGAUCUUGAAGAACCAAGUGACAUGAGUGUCUGGAAAAUGGCCUCAGAAGUUCCAUCAACUACGCCAACAGCCAUUAUCGCAGGGUGAUCAUCCCACUUUCCAAGAGAUUCCCUAUCUUUAGCUUCCUUGA